GGGUCUGACUGUCAUUUCCGGCUUGCCAGGGCUCGCUCGGCCAGGCCAGCAGUUACGCUCCUCUCCUGUCCCGGGUGUGAAGCGUGUGUGCGCAUACGGGCUAGUGGGUGCAAGUGUAUGAGUGUAUGUAAGUGAGCACGUGUGCGUGUGUGUGUGAGCACACAUGUGCGCGUGCCUGUGCGAGCGGGCUGCGUGUGUCUGUGUGCGCCUGCCCUGCAGGGGGAAUGCGAGUGUUUGUUGCUUGGCUUCAGCCCAGAAGGGAAACAGAUAAUGAGGUGAACGGAAGUGAACUGGAGGGAGUCUGGGCUUCAGCACUAAUUAGUAGCUAUCAGUUUUGACAAGAGGACGUACACUAGUCGUAAAUGAGCAGAGAAGGGAAAACCCAGGGACUGGGGCUGGGCAGGAGGUUGGGAGGCCACCAGCAGCCCCCGGGGCAGGAAAGGCAUCUCAGGAGCCCGGUGCGGGGUCAGGCAGGCGGCUCCUUCCUGCCCUUGGGCGCAGGCGCUCCUCUUCUUCCUGUGGAGGGCUGGAGGCAGAACGGCAGAGCAGAAGCACAGACGACUUGGUGGACUGCUGAGAAGGAGCGGCUCCCUGAUUUCCAGAUAAGAUUUCACAAAAGCAAUUCUGAAGUCUUACCCGGUCAAGGACUUCCUGCAUGAGGUAUGUUUUUACUUCCAGCCAACACGGUCUCUCUCCUGGUUACAGAGAAGACACUCUGUGUGUAAAAGCUGGGGCUGUAUUUGGCUUCAGAUUCACUAAUGGACUUUGUUCUCUCCUGGAACCUGGAAUCUACGCAGACCUGUAGGGGUUCAGAAUGCGCCUCCCCCGAAUGUGUCACUUUUAUGUGAGGAUUAUUCUGAGCUAAAGGCAGUCAAGACCCUGCUGGCUCAGGAGGAACCACUGCCCCUCCCUCAGCUACCCAGAAGAAUUUAGACCGGAGAAUUUCCCCAGAAAAGAGUUAUUACCAGAGACAAGCUUACCUCCGUGGCCACAUCUACGGCAGAGCACACACCUUAGCACCAAGCACUUGCUCUUCUUGUUGGAAGGUUUUUCUCUCUUUAACAGACUCAAUGCUUUAUUUUUUUCAUACUUUUAGUUUUUACUUACUUACCUUUUAAUGGAGGUACUGGGGAUUGAACCCUGGGCCUGGUGCACACUAGGCACACGCUCACCUCUGGGCAUGCUCAGUGCCUCGAAUUGGCUUCCUCAGAGCCCACUGUAGCUUCCUGGGAUUCAUACACUGUCCCGAGGAAAACAAAAUAGAGGUGUCUUAAGAGAAGGAGGGUGUACUUCCCCAGUCUGUGAGAACCAUGUGCUUCCUUCGGUAAAAUCGAUCCUCCCCUCUACUUUGCCGGAGCAGGAAGCCUGAGUGGGCGUGAGGGGCUGCUGGAAAUAGGCCUCUCGCCAGCCCCCUCAGGGCUAUUCAGAGGGCGGCGCACUGAAGGGCGCGCGCUGACGGCCUUCACCCUUUCCCUCCCUGCUCCUCGGUGUCCUCUGUGCUCCCUUCCCGCUUCCUCCCCACAAGGGAACCAGCUCUCAGCAUCAGAUCCUCCUGUCUUGACAUCGUUUCCUCCUGGUCACAACCUGAGUUCUCCAAUCUGGUUUUUAGUCAUUGGCCCAGAUACUUGGCCUGGUAACUUGGGUUUCAGUUAACACCAGACGAAGUAAACUCAGUUCCCCUUCUGUCCUCGUCCAAAAGUUGGCCUCAAACUACUUCAGAAAAAUCUCUGCCUCCUCCCUUGGCCAGUCUAAGGUAGGCCUGCUCCUUCAGUGCGAGGUUCACACUGGCUUUGUGAAGGGCGUCACAGCACACAGCUGUGAGCGUUGUCAGGGAAGCGUUUGACAAGAAGGACCAUGUAUCCAAAAUUUGCCCUCAGCACGUGGGACAGUUUGGGGCAUCUCCAGGUGCUUUCAGGAGUUCUUUACCUGAAUUUAUAGAGGCAAUGAAAAGAUUUGUUGAGAAUGACUAACCCCUACGUGCUGAAUGAGAACUGUUUCCAGUUCACUAAACAGUUAAUUACAUCAGUUAUCAUUUAAAUAUGGUAUCAACACAAUCAGCUUCAAGCGUGUGUUGUAACUUAAAACGCCUCCAUCCUGGGAAUUAAUUACAGCCUUAGUCAAAUCUGGCUCAAGAAAUGACUAUCCAAACUCAAAAAAGACUUCGUUCCCAACUCCUUCCCCAUCAUCCUCACUCUGUGCCAUUCCCCAGCUUCUCCGAGGUCCUCUGCCAUGUUCCACUGGGGUGGGUCCUCCUGGAUGCAGACUGCAGUGCUGUGGUCAUUGGUUCCACCACCUCAAGAGCUCACCGCGCUGACAGGCAUGUCCAGAGCCUGAGGGCUGGAGGCCAAAGAAGACAGGGUGGAGCGCUGCUGAGCUAACGGAGCAGCUGUGUCACCCUUCUGCUGUCUCUCCUUGGACCAGGAGUGCGCACAGCUGCCUUGCCUGGGGUUACGGAAGCUCGUGGGGCAGGGCUCAGGACUGUGGGCAUAACAGCGCCUGCCCGUGGGGCCGAGCCCCCUUCCAUCACCGAAGCAAAACCACAGCCAUCCUGCCCCCACCAUUCUGCCCAGUCCCUCACCUCCUCUUAGGCUGCCCCGACUCUCUCCGCUUGCUUUCUGCCGGAGGAAGAAGGGAUUUCUGUGGGGAUGCGCAGAGGAGUCCUGAGCUUUCCAGCCACGCUGCUCCGUCCUUCCUUGCCCCAGGCUCCAGCGGAUUGCAGAGAGUUCUCAGCUCCCGGCAGGGUGGCGGUUUCCGGUGGGGAGCGGCCGCUGCUUCUUUCCGUCCUGCUCUCUGCAGAAGGUGGCUCGCUGCUCUCUGCAGAAGGUGGCUCGCUGCUCUCUGCGGGCUGGCAGCUCCCACUGAGGUCUGCGUGGGCUCUGUCCCUGUAGGCUGCAGGGAUGAGCGUGGUUGGGAAGUCCUUGGCUUCUUGGUAGUGAGAAGAUUUCAGACUGAGUAUAAGCUGAAACAGGUUUUCCCCUCCGAGCUGAGGCCUGUGCCUCCUGAGUCGCAGUAACAACGCCCCCCCAGUGGAUCUGGGUCGGGCUGUUUAACAGCUUCAGACCCGCUGGGGAGGUGGGGCUCUGGGAGAGUGGGAGGGGGUGCUUUCUGUGACUCCCGCCUGCUUCUGUAACCUUGACAGCGCAGCCCUGGUUGGGCCCAGCGCCUCCUGUGUCCUCUCCAAGUUCCCUCUUCCUUAUAAAACCCAGCUGCCUGUUGGGGCUUCUCUCCCCGUGUUUACGGCUGGUAACUGACUUUCAGCAUUUCCCAGAUUCCUGUCUCCUCCUUCAUUUAGUGAGGAAAUGAUUGCCUUUCCUGUUUUCCAUUCACUUCACGUAUUAGCUGCCAUGUUGUGCUGAUUAAUGGCCCCUUAAAUACGCAGGUUAUGCCCUUGCAGUUCAAGGGAGCGUUUGCCCAAAGCUAGGCAAGUCUCACAUCACAGCCAAGUUCAAGUGCCUGGGACCGGGGUGGACACCUUCCCGCUCAGUCUCAUGGCUAAUGUCUUAAACCUUUUAGUUGUCGAUGUCAAAUCUAGGUUUCUAAAAGCCUUCUGUUAUUUAAUUCCUGCCAGGAAUUAAUUAGUUUCCUUACAGACUGCCUGCCAGGACCACCCUGAAUGGUGACAGGUGGGGGAAGGGUGUGGGGCUGUGCCGAGGUGUUCUGUCCCUAAGACUUGAGCUACACCAGGUUACAGAGGCUGCCUGGUGAAGUCUGAAAGACGGCAGGCCAAUAACGAAAAGAUUAUUUUUGUGACCUGUGAGGCUGGUGAAGUCGAGCAGAAGAGAACCUGGGGAGAUGAAGAGAGCAGCUGAGGGUCGAGGGUCAGACUGAGUGAAGGACAGGUGGGCUGAGGGCCAGCUGAGGCUCAUCCAGCCACACCUGCCCCUUAUCACAUUUCGGGGUGCUUCACUGGAGGGGGGACAUGUUCUUAAAUGACUGCUGUUAGUCAUCUGUCGGGCUCAGCCCCAAGGUGCGCUAGGAUUUCUCAAGAGGAGGGGCUUACUGGUGGCCAUCUGUUGGAAGCAGGUGUGUAGAGCGACGCUGGAGGACCGUUUUUGAAGCUGCCUGGCACGGGGGGCAGACUGUCCUUGGGAGAAAGGGGGAGAAGAGCACGGCUCCUGGAGGCAGAUGGCCUGAAUUCAAGUCCCAGAAGCACUGCCUGGCUGUGUGAUCCUGGACGAGGAUCCUCUGUGCACCUCAGCUUCCUUAUGUAUGAAUCGAGGUUAAUAAUUUGGGAGAGUCCUUUGGCAGAUCUGUCCUCAGAGCUUAGUGGCCUGGCCACUGGACUGGGGUCUAGGGUCAGGGGUCUUCUUAUGAGAUCGAUUGGCAAGGGUGUGAGGGAAUGGCAGGCCCCCACCUAGGUCAUUCAGAAAAGGGGGCCCUGGGGACACCAGGCAGCACAGGAGCCCCCUGGGGGCACUGGAUCCUGGCUGAGGUUAGCAGCAGACAGGAGUCUGUCAGCUCUCAGGUGUCGUGCUAAGGCCCUGGGGCCAGCAAGGACACUGGACUACACAAAGUGAGUUAGGCCCUGCCUGCUUCUCAGGCCUGGCAUUACCUCUACGGCUUCAUGGAAGGCAGACCCAGGCUCCACUCUGGAGUUGCCAAGCUGGGCACAUCUGGAGGUUUGGGUGGGAGUCUGGUGAGCUUUACUGGAUGACCACAGGCUCUGACGGAGGAGUUAGAGUCAGCAGAACUGGGAGAGAUGAGGUGGAGCUCACACUGGAAUCAGCCUGCAAGCUCUCACAUCUCUGGGGGUUGAUUCUGACUGUAUUGGUUUGCUAGGGCUGCUGUCACAAAGCCCCACAAACGGGGUGACUCACACAACAGAAAUUUGUUGUCGCGCGGUCCUGGAGGCCGGAAGUCCGCGGUGAGGCCUGGAGGAGGCUCUGUCCUCGGUGCUCACAGGCUUGGGACGCACCUGCCACCUCAGCGUACCCUCCCCCAUCGGCUUCCAAGUCCACGUAGCGCCCUCUCUGUGGUGUGUCUGCUUUUGGGUCCAAAGUUUUCCUUUUUAUUGGUGACCAUGACAACAUUGUCAUGGAGCAUAAACUCACUUUAACUUGAUUCCCUCUGUAAAGUCCCUGUUUCCAGGAAAGAUUGCAUUCUGAGGCACUGGGGUCAGGGCUGCAACACGUGUUCUGAGGGACGCAAUCCAGCCCGGAACCCCGACCACACGGGGACUGGCUGGAGACAGAGGUGGGGCAGGAGCCAUCGGCGGGUUCAGGAUUGCUGAGGAAGGACCUCUCGGCUCCUCCUGACAUGUCUCCAGACUCUUCAAACAGCACUGGGACAUUACAACUCCCAGGUGUAAUCAGGAGGCCCGUCGUGAGAAAGCAGCAGCUUUAAAAACGGAAUUCUGCUAACACAAGGUGGGGGGGGGGGUCCCAGAGAAAGGAACUAGCAUGCCUACGAAGAGAGCCCUUCGGGGAGUUCUUGCCUUGAUGGACCCCAGGCGGCUGAACCCCGCGGGAGGGACGAGCACGUAGCAGAACGUGCAGAAGGAAGCUGAGAGUGAGACGCCCGCAGAGAGCCCCAGGGCAGUAAAACGGCCUUCGCUUCGCAGAGUGAGGAGGCCAGGUGGGGGAGAGGUGGUGGGUGUGGACCAAACUCCCCGUGAGCAUUUCGCUGUACAGACGUGUAGCCAAGGAUCGUGCUCAACACCUUAAGCUCCCACAGCGUUCCACAUCAAUUGUAUCUCGAUAAAACUGGAAAAAAACAAAGUGUGAGUUGAGCAAGUAAAAAAAAAGAAAAGUAGUGAUUUUUGUUUUAAAUAAUCUUCAUUAUAAAAAAUACCAAAUAAGGAGGAGAUAGUGCACGGGCAGAAGACACGUGUCAGGAGAUGACAGUGGGCAGCUGUCCACUUUGUUCUGACUUCUAUAAUAGAAAGAACGACUUUCAAACCAUAAAGGCAGAUCAGAGACGGGUGAAGAGGAAAGGCAGCCGAGUACGGACGGACCGACAGACAGAGCUCACCUCGCUGUCCUAAAGCAGUUCAAAAUUUUACCCUGGACUCAGGGUUGGCAAACUUUUUUCUGCCAAGGUGAUAUUUCAGGCUUUGUGGGCCACGUGGCCUUGGCUGCAAUUACUCAACUCUGCGUUUGUAGAAUGAACGCGGCCACCAACAAUUUGGAAAUGAGUAGGUGUGGCUGUGUUCUAAUGAGACUUUAUUUAUAAAAAGCGGCAGCUAACCAGAUUUGAGCUGGCCUGUAGUUUGCAGAUCCCUGCACUGAAGCAAUGACAACCCCAGAAAAUGAAAAGACUCGCCUCCGAGGGUCCCUACAGGGAAGAGGGAGCCUCUGGACCCUGGAGAAAGCCGAAGACGAAAGGGGAGAUUCUGAAGGCUGCAGUCCGCUCGCCUUCACACUUGCUUCUGACGCACUUUCAGAACAAGUGAGCAGAUAAUCCUAUUCAGCAAGUGUUAUGCAAACACCCACGUCACACUGUCUAAGUUCUCGGUGGUAAACACAACACAGACGUGGUUUUUGCCCUCAGGGAAUUUUUGGUCUCAAAGAAGAGACCAGAGGAAAUGAAGUGACUGCAGGCGUUGGAGGUCCUGGAAGGGGAGGGAUGAGGGGAAUGGCGUCAGAAAGGGGAUCGAGCUUGGUUUCAGGGGUCAGGGGAGGCCUCCCUGGGAGAAUGGAGACUCACAGUUCGAGUGACUAGCCUGGAAAAGGGGACAGGCUGAGAAAACGUUCUGAACAAAAGGAGGGGAUUGUGCCAAAGCCCAGUGGCAGGGAGACUCCUCAGGCAGCGAGAUAAAUCGAAAAGGGUGCGACGGCCAGAGGACAGACGAAGAAGAACGGGCGGGGCCAGGCCAAGCAGCGGGCGAGAGGCCUUUCCCCGACACACACGAGGCUCGCAGUGCUGGCCGAAGUGGGGAUGAGGUGAUCGCGACCGCUCUUUGCUUUUGGUCAGCUCCUAGCGGCUCCUACGUCGUGGCCCCCUUUCCGGAUGCCCGCGAGCUGUUCUUCCUGCUUCCAGUCUCAGUUCCCUCAGCUCACUGCCUGGCAGACACAUCUCUAAAAUUCAAUCUGAUUGUAUCACACCCAGGCUUAAAACCUUCCGUGGAUGACCGCGGUCCUCAGGACUUUGGACUUUAACAAAGCAUUCAGUUCAGUCUUUCAUAAUGUCUCUGGGAGCAGUGGAGAUGAGCUAGUUCUUUAUUCACUGUCACCUCUCUGGUGUCGCAUGCGACCAAAGGGAGCCUAGGGGGUACAGCCGGAUGAAGAGGGCAAGAGGGAGGCCGCACUCGUCCUGAGCAGUGCGUGCUGCCGGCCCCCGUGGUCAAGCCUGGCUCUGGCCUCCUUGGCCUUUGAGCUAACCAAGACCCAGUGCUGUCUGAAGUCCUGCCGGGAGAAGACUGGCCACGGUUGUGCUGACCGCCAAGCAAUUCAGUUCCAGUGGAAAAUAGCAGAAGACUGGGACCCUGGCCCACAGAAAGUCCGCAGAGCGGCUCCUGCCCUUGUGGUGCUCUUAUAAGAACCCCAGAUCUGCCCACACCACUCCCCCAGGCCCUCCAGCCGUCCUCACAACAGCGUCCGAACCCCAGGCCACGGCUCACACGGUCUGAUUCUUGCCCUCUCUCCAACCUCGCCGCUUACACUCACUCUGAUGUUUACUUCUUGAGGGUAGAAACCUUUUCUUGUGCCCCGCUGCACCUGCAGUGUUGGUAACGGAGCUUGGCAUACACACUCGUAACUGUUGAGUAAAUGAAUCCAGACUGGGCUUCCAAAGAGCUGGCCUGAAUUCACACAAUGGAACCUCUCAUCACUAAAUUCUUCAGAAUCAUCUUUUUAGAAACCCCAUCCGUGUAGCCCCUGAUGCUUUGGAAAUACAAAGCCGUGGUUUGAUGAGUGAGAGGACAGCUGGAGAAGUGAAGGGUAGUGCCGUGUCCAGUUCAGACUCCUUGGGGGAACUGGGCUGGGAGGAUGGAAUGACCCAAGUUGGACUCUGCCCAGCACGCCAGGCUUAAGUUAUUGGGUAAGAGUACAUUAGAAAACUGAAUUUUGGCAGCUGACAAAAUAUUCUCUUUAUGUGGAAGUCAGUGCCCGUGGAUUUAGUUUCUUCUAAAGGCUGGCUUUCUCUGUCAGGGGCAAGAGAUGAUGCUGUGAAGGAGCCAGGAUUUUGCAAUGACAGCAGCAGCACCAGGAAACCCGUGGGUGGUUGUGCAGGGCCCACUUCUCAGCACCCGUUAGAGCCGGGAUGUGAUGGACCAGAUCUGCCUUUUGUUUUGCCAAUAUUUGGUCUCUCCAUUUGGAGACUCACCACCCAUGAUCGUAGCUGACUGUAUUCCAACAUCCAUGAGCCUUGGCACCCGAAUCAGAUACCUGUGGACAAAAAGAAGCCAGUUAGUCAUUCCUUUCUUCUUCCCCUCUUCUUCCUCCACUAUUUAACUCUCCCACAUUGUCAGCGAGUGAGUCAAGUGUUCAACAUGGUUUCCACGGAGGCUGACUUUGGAAAAACCAGUCCAGUCCCUUAGACUGUUUCUCAGAGAGUUCAUCACGACAUUCUGGGAUGCUGAAAAGGUCUUUUCUGUGUCAAGCCGUCCGGGGGGAGCUUACACCCUUUUGCCCACGUUUGGAAAAACAGAUGGAGGCCAGGGUGCUCACACAGCAGGAUGGGAGGGAGAGCGUGGCAGGGUGUAGGCGUGGAUGUGGGGAGUGCAGGGUGUGGAUGGGAUGGAAGGUAGGCUGCCAGGGAGCAGUGAGAGGCCUCCUCGUCGGAACUGCUCCAUGUUCCAGCAAGCCCCUAAAGCUGAGAAGGAAUUGAAACAGGGGAGGCCUUCCCUGAGGUAUUUAUAUUCUUUGCUAACAAGGUCAGAAAUAAUCACCUUUACUGUGAAUCCAAAUAGAGUGUGUAAUGCCAGUCACGGUGGGGUUUGGGGGAAACCGCCCCCGGGUGCCUCCCCCCGAGCCUGGUCUGGUGCCCACAACCCCUGCUCCCACCCUUCUGUGUGUGGAAGUCCUGAGAGAAUGCUGGUAUCCCAUGUGGGGGGGGGGGCAGUGGGCAGGAAUGGGGUUGGUUUACCCAGCUGUCAGCUAAGAAUGCAAGCGGUUUUGGCUAGGAAGUUUGGAACGGGGCUGGGGAGGCGAGGUGCUGUCACGCUGGAGAGCUCUGGGCGGCAAGAACAGCGAUGAAGACACCUGUUUGGGGCCGGCGAGGUGCAUCGGAAGACGAGUGGCAACAUGUGUGAGCGACAGCGUGGCCAUGGCCCGCCUCCCCCAUUCCGGCCUCGUACAAGGGUGUCUCCUGCGGCCACUCUGAUGGGAAACGUGCAGGGAAGGGAGCUGCGGGAAAUGGAGUUCAGCCUCCCCACGCUGCCCUUAUCAAGCCACCACUCCAGGUCAGCUGCUUCCAGGCCCUGAGGCCUUUCCGUGUCACCACCUCACCCCCCUCCAAAGAGCCUUUUAAGUUGUUUGUUCACUCGUCCUGUUCCAGCCUGCUUUGAGUGUUGGCGGCACAGGCCUCGAGCAGGGCUGGCUAGGGCGGCAGGCAGCGUGGAGGGGAAAGGCUUGCAGGUCAGCGUCUUCUAGAGGAGACCCCACACGAGGUUCAGCUCCAGCUGCAAAGGACAAGGGUCUCAGCCUUGGGGUGUGCGCCCCCGGGAGGGGCAUUUUGCUUCUCAUUGCCCCUAGCCCUCCAGUGCCGCCCCCUCACACAGCCAGCCGCCAGCUCCAGGGGCGCAACCUCUGUCCUGCACAAAGCGGCCUGACCAAGCAGGAGGGCUGCGAGUGGGCCACAGGACAGCCCUGCUUCCCUCGCCAGGCGUCAGCCUUGAAGAAUGAAAGAUGUUUCCAAUCCAAGGUUCUGGAGGAGGCAUCUUUUUAUAGUUUGUCCAACCACUGGACGUGUAGCUCUGCCCUUUGAAUCAGCUGCCGACAGCUGCCUCACAAUUUUUUCUUCCUUUUCAUUUGGGAAAGACAAGCCAGGGCAGUCUGCCUGGACUUCACAGAUUGCUCUCCGGCGAGCUCAGCUCCGGGUCUUCCUGUCUGGAGCCUGAGUGCUCCUCCACGUGAGGAAAGCGGGCGCUGAGAGGAGGAAAGUCCUCCGAAAGCAUUAGCGCAGGGCGCCUUCACCAUGGUUUGGAAGGGUUACUCUUUUUCUUUUUGAGGGUCAGCAAGGCAUUUCAAUGAGAAACUGAGCUUGACAGAGGGGGAUUUUGGGUGUGUGCAUGUGUGUGUGUGUCUGUAUGUGUGCGUUUCAAAAAGGAGGCAAUCCAAGCACAUUUGGAAAGAACCAGUUUCCCGUCAGGGUGGAAGGCUGACUGUCGACUGGCUUUGGCUACAUCCAGCCCGCGAGCGCAUAACAAGGACUUGCCUCAUCAGGACGCCCUGACAGAUUCACAUCGACUCAGGGUGCUUCUUUGUUUCCUGCUGCCUGUCGUGGCUCAGUUCCGUCUGCAUUAGCACCCCCGGCCUUUUACUCCGAUGACCCUCGAGCUUCUGCUUUGAUCCUCACUGCCUGGCACGCUCCUCGUGGUGCUAUUGUGGGAUGGCUGGGUGGAGGUGAUUUUGGACUCUUCUUCCAGUUUCCUUUUCAGCAGCCAGUGAAACGCUGGAGGCAUGUAAUACUUGUGAUUAAAAUCGCGGUGCAAAGCACAACUGGCCCACCACUGAUUCUGCUAAGAAUCCAAAAAAAAGAGGUGAACCAGUUGGCUGAAGUGCACAUACACAUUGUCUUAGAGGCUCUGAUGUAGACAGCAUGAAUCUUCAUUAUGUGGUGGGCACUUUGGGCUACUUAGCGGCCAGGCCUGCCCUGCAUAUACCUACAUCUGCAGACCCAACUCAGAGCAAACCUGUACCACCUAGGAAAUCUGUGUUUGUGUUCCUGGAUCCUCACUGAUUCUCUCUUACCUGCAUCCCUUUCUCUCCUCUCUAGAACUUCAUCAUUCUUAACUAUUUUUUGCAGCAUGGAAUAAUGCAAACAAUAAUAGUUAAUGUGUGUCACUUACUGGGCAUGUAGAAGCCAUUGUACUGAGCACUUUACAUGAAUUGAAUAAUAUUAUCCAAUAAAUAUUUACAUAGGACGUAUUUUAUAUUAGAAAAGUUUCCAGGUGCUGGGGGUGCAGAAUAAAGCAGACAAAAAUCCCUUCCUUCAGGGAAUGUACAUUCCAGAGAGAGAUAAAGAGAAUUGAAAGAGUAAAAUACAUGAUAUAAAGAUGAUGAUAAAUGCAUUGGAGAAAAAUAACAAGAGGCAAGGUGCUGGGAAGCACUGGUGAGGGUGGAGGAGGCGGACGGCCGCACCACAGCUGAGCCACGUGCCACCUCUGUGAGACAGCUAGCGCCGCUGCCCUCAGCUCACCGACGACGAAACCGAGGCUUCCACUGUCAAAACGCUUCCUCAAGAAUAAGUCUAUCAGCCAUUCUUAUGCCCGAGUCCACCUCUCCCAGAAGCAUUUGCUGUGACUUGCUUCCUAGCUGGAGAAGGCAAAGCAGCUGCACACAGGUAAGGAAUUACAUCACCAGUGGGUGUGCCGGAAGUGCGAGGGAGAGGAAAGGCCAUGCUGCUUGUGGCUCAGACGUCCCCAGUGGCCCCGUCAGCCUGUGGCUCAUACGUCCCCAGUGGCCCUGUCAGCUUGCUUACCUGGGCUCCCUCUGAGCUAGAACAGCCCUCUGCAUGAUGCUAGGCAGGGUUCCACAGCCACAGAAAAGACUUUCAAAAAAUCUCAGCCAGUUUUUAAAAAUAGACUUCAUGUUUUAGAGCAAUUUUAGGUUCGCAGCAAAAUUGAAUGGAAAGUACAGAGAGUUCCCACACCCCCCCCCCAACUGUCGACAUCCGGCUGGUCUCUUUUUUUACAAAGGGAACUUCUUUCCCUCCCUGUUGCUUUCUCCUGAAUUAAGUCUGGGCUGCAGAUUCAAAUACUCAAAUACUAUCGCUCACUGGACGCUGACGCCCCUCACGCACACCUGCGCGGCCUGCCGUUCUCUUUUGCACGGAAGACCCACUGCCCGCAGAGCAGGACAGGACUCACAGGAAACUUGGACGGACAGAUGGCUGGGUUCCUGAGUGCCUGCAGGGCUGUGAGCUGCUGCAGGUCUGAGGCCAUCUCUGCCUCGCAGCCCUGUCAUUUUAAGCAACCUUCUUCUCCUGGCCAAGACUUGCCCAAAGCCUCCUAAUUGAAUGUGGAGCCGUGACAAGUUCUCGCUGGCCACCAUGUGCUGAGUCACAGUUCGUGUCGUUCCUCACUGGCCCCACUGCCUUUGGGGCUGAUGCGCUCGCCCCGGGGCCGAGAGGAAGCAGCGGCCGGCCAGACAGCCACACCUUCGGACAGAGCCGCAUCUGAGAGGGCUUCCGGUGAAAACGGGUCAUCAGCUAGGCGGGUGGGAGAGGCACGGGGUGGGGCUGGGGGUGACAUCACCCCGAUCUUUCCUGCCGGAUUUGACAGAGCUUGACUUUUGAGGGAAAAGGAGGUGAAGUCAUUGAUGAGCUUUCUCCACUGAGGAGUCAGGGGACGAGGUCACAUCUGGGUUUGUCUUCAAACCCGGAGAGGAAUGAGCUCAUGCUGCUGUUUCCCUUAUUCUGCGUCCAGGAGUGAGGGGAGGGGCAUGCUGUGUGAGGGUGUGCCUUGUGCGAGAGGCUGGGGAGGUCUGGAAGCUCUUGUGCCUCCAAAGGCAAGUCUGUCUUCUUCCCUGAAGAGCUUGCAUUUCUCUGGGAGCAGCCCUCCCAGGGCAGCACAGUGCUGGGCAAGGCCUAAGUUCUGCUCAGGAUGUUAGAGCAGGCAGACCGCUAGAUGUGAGCAGAGAAAGGGGAUCCCAGGCCAAAUGGCAGAAAGUGGGCAAAAAGGACAGAGGCACAGGGCCAAAUGCAGGAAACCCCGCAUCAUGCAAACAACAGGGGCCCCUGGGCGACAGAGAGAAGCAGGAACCUCGGGACUGGUGGCAAGUAACACAUUUUGGGGUGACAAGUGCCCUGGAGGCCGGCAAAGAAAGGUGGGAAGAGGCAGGGAUCUCCAGUGUCUGAAUGUAACCUUUGGCUCAUUAUGCCCUCAUUUCAAUAAAAUUGGCCUUGCAGAUGAGAAUUGCCCAUCAUGCACUGAAGCCGUGACACUUCCGAUCCAGACUAAAUAAGGACAAAAAUCCCUCCUCCCUUCAGGAAGGUGGAGCUGGGAUGAAAAUCAGCGAAUACGACCCCAAACCCUUCCCUCCCCAGUGAAUAUUCCGCCCACGCAUUUCUACAAUCUGUGUAGCCAACCUGCCAGAGAAACUCAGGGCAGCCGCUC
Long non-coding RNA from Camelus dromedarius (Arabian camel), 13216 nucleotides. RefSeq lists it as uncharacterized. The record is from RefSeq and is a predicted model, not a curated record. Lineage: Eukaryota; Metazoa; Chordata; Mammalia; Artiodactyla; Camelidae. The transcript is spliced from 4 exons.